AGAAAUCUAGAAGUUUUUGAUUGUCAGUGUGGAGAGAAAGAAUCUACUUAAAAUACAUCAUGUCACAUUAUCACCGAUCAGACAUCAAGAUGCCAAUUAUAGUGACAAAACAACAACAUGAUUUGAAUUGUCCUCUACUCAUGUGCCGCUACAGAACUAUGAGACGUCCGCUGACACGUACCGCCUUGCACGCGCUCUCCCUACCACAUUUCACAGAAUAAUAAGCAGAUAACAGAAGUUGAGAUGCAACAAUCUUCUCACACAGCAUCUGCAGCGAUAAACAACUGACACGCGCCAGUGUCGGUAUCAGCAAAGUAACCACGUGUUUAGCGGAGUAAGACUUAUCAGCAGAAACUAAUACUGUAAAAAAAAUGCAGCAGCAAGGACUUCUAGAAAACAGGAAACUUCAAUAAUACUUCCAUUAAAAACCACAUCAGCUAAUACCCUAACACUUCUGGGAGGACACCAGCGAAAUCGAAGAUUGCAGCGUCCGUAGAAGUAAUCACGUACCAAAAUUCCGCGCUAUCAUGGAAUGCUCCGUCACGUGACAAUUAGCCAUAACAGAUGAGUCAGUUACCCAUGAUAGAUGAGUCAGUUAGCCAUGAUAAGGAGAGUCAGUUAUUUAGUUCAGUCAGUAAAAAAGAGAGUCAGUUAUUCAGUUCAGUUAGUAAAAGGAAGGUCAUUUAAACAGUCCAUAUAAAAUCUGUAACGCAGUUUAUUCAAAAUUCUGUUGAAGGAGUCUUUGAGUUCAGUCAGUUAAAGUCGGCCAGUUAAAAGAAAAUCCAAUCCAGUUACUCAGUUUAGUUAUAGAGUCUAGUUAGUUGAAAUUUUGUCAAGAGUCAGUAAAAAAUUUAUCAAGAGUUAAUAUCAAGUUCAUAAAAAUAAUAGUCUUUGCGAAGCCGAGGAUUGUUUCAAUAUAGAGUCUUUGAGUAACAUUAAAAAGUAAAACCGAGAUCUACCAUUCUUCAGCAAUUCAUACAGCCAGUCUUCCAACAACUACACGAACUUAAUACGAUAUUCCAAGAAUGCGAUCGACAACACAUAUAAGCAAGAUGAGAAGCUAAACAUUAUAACACUUUCUUCUUCGAUUUCGAACUUGUACUACAUAUACGAUUUCAAUAAAAUUAUUUAUUGACUAUUAUUGUGAACGAUCAAAGAGAUAUUGAAAAUAUUUAUUUACUCCAAGAAAACUUUAACCCUUCCUGUGCUAGUACUCCUGC
RNAcentral lists this unclassified non-coding RNA (1220 nucleotides) under Bombus terrestris (buff-tailed bumblebee). RNAcentral's name for it is "misc RNA ENSBTSG00005031441.1". Lineage: Eukaryota; Metazoa; Arthropoda; Insecta; Hymenoptera; Apidae. The record is from RNAcentral.